UACGGGAUAAUAUAUUUGAGAGGCAUCUCUUGAAUAUCAAAGGUGAGCCAGUACAGGAUGGACCCGCGUCUGAUUAGCUAGUUGGUAAGGUAACGGCUUACCAAGGCGACGAUCAGUAGCCGACCUGCGAGGGUGAUCGGCCACAUUGGAACUGAGACACGGUCCAAACUCCUACGGGAGGCAGCAGUGGGGAAUAUUGCACAAUGGGCGAAAGCCUGAUGCAGCAACGCCGCGUGAGUUAUGAAGGCCUUCGGGUCGUAAAACUCUGUCCAAGGAAGAUAAUGACGGUACUUGAGGAGGAAGCCCCGGCUAA
This 313-nucleotide ribosomal RNA is filed under the name Clostridioides difficile. Its description in RNAcentral is "bacterial SSU rRNA". It matches the Rfam family "Bacterial small subunit ribosomal RNA", at positions 167 to 500 of the family's 1533-position model. Lineage: Bacteria; Bacillati; Bacillota; Clostridia; Peptostreptococcales; Peptostreptococcaceae. The record is from RNAcentral.